RNAcentral lists this ribosomal RNA (248 nucleotides) under uncultured bacterium. RNAcentral's name for it is "partial 16S ribosomal RNA". It matches the Rfam family "Bacterial small subunit ribosomal RNA", at positions 15 to 244 of the family's 1533-position model. The record is from RNAcentral.
GAUCCUGGCUCAGGAUGAACGCUGGCGGCGUGCCUAACACAUGCAAGUCGAACGGGGUUAUUUUGGAAAAUCCUUCGGGAUUGGAAUUCUUAACCUAGUGGCGGACGGGUGAGUAACGCGUGAGCAAUCUGCCUUUAAGAGGGGGAUAACAGUCGGAAACGGCUGCUAAUACCGCAUAAAGCAUUGAAUUCGCAUGUUUUCGAUGCCAAAGGAGCAAUCCGCUUUUAGAUGAGCUCGCGUCUGAUUAG